UCCCAGUAAAGAAACAUUUACAUGACUUCCCUUCUAUCCUGGUCUCAGGUCCUAUAAAGGUGAACCCACUGGAGCUGGCUGGGGGAGAAAAGAAAAGUUUAUUACAAAAGGAACUGUCUGAGGAAU
Small nucleolar RNA from Camelus dromedarius (Arabian camel), 126 nucleotides. Its record names the gene SNORD22. It matches the Rfam family "Small nucleolar RNA SNORD22". From Rfam's summary of the family: U22 is a member of the C/D class of snoRNA which contain the C (UGAUGA) and D (CUGA) box motifs. Lineage: Eukaryota; Metazoa; Chordata; Mammalia; Artiodactyla; Camelidae. The record is from Ensembl.